Molecule: small nucleolar RNA, 154 nt
Organism: Cynocephalus volans (Philippine flying lemur)
Lineage: Eukaryota; Metazoa; Chordata; Mammalia; Dermoptera; Cynocephalidae
Source: RefSeq, a predicted model, not a curated record
UGUCCACAUUGUUAGAGCUUGGAGUUGAGGCUGAUGACUGGCUGCUGAACUCACAGUGUAGGUAGCAUGCUACAUGAGGGGCAAGUUUUUCCACUAACAUUACAAGGGUCUCUGGUCCAGUUAGUGCAACUUAAUAGUAAUCCUUACUGCAAGU